Lontra canadensis (Northern American river otter) is the source of this 1194-nucleotide long non-coding RNA. RefSeq lists it as uncharacterized. Lineage: Eukaryota; Metazoa; Chordata; Mammalia; Carnivora; Mustelidae. The transcript is spliced from 3 exons. The record is from RefSeq and is a predicted model, not a curated record.
GUAAGAAUAUUUUUAGGAAAAAGCUAUCAAAGUAAAUGGAUUUCACCUCCAUCUACUGUAGCCCGUGUGACACUAUUUGGACAUUUAAUGACGUCGUCAGCCUCCCCGCGCUGUGCCCACUUGGAGCGCAGGAGCGAAAUUUCAGCUUGGAGGUUUCUGGUGCUUAGCGAAGCGUCUCAGGUAAAUUAAGCGGUGGAGGACGAAAUGAGAAGCUUGCAGCGCGACGAUAGCAGUACCAUUGGAGCGCCUACUGUGUCCCAGGCACUGAGUCACACUCUACAAGGAUUCAUUUAAUCCUCACACAGCAGAAGAGUGAACAUUUACCACUAUAACGAGAUCAAGAGGCCAAGUUUGGAGAAAUGAAUUACACGAAGAGAUGUCAUCCUUGACUAAAGCCUCCAGCCUCCCUCCUUAAAGGGAACUUGUGCUUCUGUGAAGGUUCCCACCAAUUUGAUGUGAAUUGUUGUUCUACAGUGAUGCCCUCUGACUUGAAUCUCCAGUCCUGUCCCUCUACACUGAAACCAGGGACCUUGAACCAGAGAACUCCUUUAAGGAGCAGACCUAAACAAACAUGAGAACCAUGGCAGGUUUGUGGAGAACAGACCUAUAGGCUGCAAUGGCAAUGUGAGAUCAGACCUCAGCUGCUUCUGAGAGCAGGAAAAGCUGGAGCCAGGAGGGUUAAAAUAGGUUGCCCUAAGUUUUAUGAAGCAGACAUAUUUUUUACCCCUACCCUGGUUUCUACAUCAGUCCCUUCGGAUUCUACCAUCUGAUGGGGCAUGUGCUGCUGUGGAAGAUCUUCAUUUUCGACUGUGGAAAAGGGGGAAACAUGAUGCAACAAUUAUUUUUGCAUUUAAGAAUAGGAAAAAUACUAGAAAUAGGGUAUCACUACAUUCCUUCAGUUAAUUAAUGCUACAUCUUAUAGGAUAUUGUGUUCUGCAAGAAGCAGCAGCUAAGAAGUCUAAAGCCCUCUGAAGAGAUACAUCUGAUGAUCACUCACCCAGUUGGCAAUUCUUGUUUUAAAGUCUCAAUAUCCAUAACCUGAACAGAUUGUCCACCACCUCUUGUUUUAUAAACAUCACCCUGAAGCAGACAGGAAAGACCAGCAUUAUACUUUAAUAUAACUGAAUGAUAAACAUGUAUUUCAAACUGAACUUAAGAUUCUCCAUGAAACAGUAAAGAAAGUCCCAUUCACAA